RNAcentral lists this ribosomal RNA (703 nucleotides) under Escherichia coli. RNAcentral's name for it is "bacterial SSU rRNA". It matches the Rfam family "Bacterial small subunit ribosomal RNA", at positions 823 to 1526 of the family's 1533-position model. RNAcentral also lists the same sequence under 1 other name. The record is from RNAcentral. Lineage: Bacteria; Pseudomonadati; Pseudomonadota; Gammaproteobacteria; Enterobacterales; Enterobacteriaceae.
GUUGUGCCCUUGAGGCGUGGCUUCCGGAGCUAACGCGUUAAGUCGACCGCCUGGGGAGUACGGCCGCAAGGUUAAAACUCAAAUGAAUUGACGGGGGCCCGCACAAGCGGUGGAGCAUGUGGUUUAAUUCGAUGCAACGCGAAGAACCUUACCUGGUCUUGACAUCCACGGAAGUUUUCAGAGAUGAGAAUGUGCCUUCGGGAACCGUGAGACAGGUGCUGCAUGGCUGUCGUCAGCUCGUGUUGUGAAAUGUUGGGUUAAGUCCCGCAACGAGCGCAACCCUUAUCCUUUGUUGCCAGCGGUCCGGCCGGGAACUCAAAGGAGACUGCCAGUGAUAAACUGGAGGAAGGUGGGGAUGACGUCAAGUCAUCAUGGCCCUUACGACCAGGGCUACACACGUGCUACAAUGGCGCAUACAAAGAGAAGCGACCUCGCGAGAGCAAGCGGACCUCAUAAAGUGCGUCGUAGUCCGGAUUGGAGUCUGCAACUCGACUCCAUGAAGUCGGAAUCGCUAGUAAUCGUGGAUCAGAAUGCCACGGUGAAUACGUUCCCGGGCCUUGUACACACCGCCCGUCACACCAUGGGAGUGGGUUGCAAAAGAAGUAGGUAGCUUAACCUUCGGGAGGGCGCUUACCACUUUGUGAUUCAUGACUGGGGUGAAGUCGUAACAAGGUAACCGUAGGGGAACCUGCGGUUGGAUCAC